This 734-nucleotide unclassified non-coding RNA is filed under the name Daphnia pulex (common water flea). Its description in RNAcentral is "uncharacterized LOC124190848, transcript variant X2". Lineage: Eukaryota; Metazoa; Arthropoda; Branchiopoda; Diplostraca; Daphniidae. The record is from RNAcentral.
CAGUGACACUCAGUGACGACAGAAACGCGUUGGCAAAGUGACAGAUGCGCUUGAUCAGCUGUUGCUCAGCUGUUGCUCAGCUGUUACUCAUCUGGCAAAAGGCUUGUAAGGUUACAAGUUUAUCGAGAUUGGACGCGAUAAUUUCAUAUUUAUGAGCAAAACCCAGGAACCAACCAAAAUACCAGUGAGAAAAUGAAGCAAGUGAACCGUUACUCGAUGUCUGUUGAAUCAGGCAUCAAUUAUGGAUACAGAAAUCACAGCAGGAACCGAGAAAUGAUGUCGUCGUCAAAUCGAUCCAUCGCUUUUGGAAGGACGUGUGUCGGUAUCAAUUUCGUAGCAAAUCGAAAAUCUUAUUUUGACAUUUCUUACGAGUAUCAGCCCAUCAGGUUCAAUAACACGUCGACCAGUUUACCAGCGCACAGGAAUUUCUUUCAACGCAACUCUUUGGAUGGCCGUCCACGUUGGAACUCUUCCACUCACACUGGCAGCCGUGACGCCCUCUACUAUUUUCCUGAAAGAUUGAAAUCCAUUUCAAAUAAAUCACCACUCUUGGCCAAUGAAAAGCGUUUAGAAUCGCCACGACCCAUCCGAUCGACAUAUCUCGGUUACACCAAUGCCGGAAAUGUGUCUGGCGCUGGAUCAGAAUUUUUCGGCCGACCUCCUGCCGGUUUGCCGAACCCAAAAUCCAACAACAACUCUGUGGCCAACUGUUUGAAUUGGGAUUUAAUGGCGCC